UUGACGAUGGUAGGAUAAUUAUUGACCUGAGGAAUAAUAUGGAUUUAUGUGGUUGUGAGAAUAGACUUUGUGUUUGUGAGUGUGAAAAUAUGAGUGUGUGUCUGUGUAUGUGUGAACCAGGGAUCCCACUUGACAAGUUGACCUUGUCUAGAGGAGCAUUAGUGGAAAAAAACAGGGUAGCCCUGAGACAAUAGGAUGCUGUCACGACCAAUGAGACUGGCCUGCAGGGGGCGCAAGGAUUCACUUCUCUCUUGGACACUGGCGGGUGUAGACACGGUGGAUUUUGUGACGAGCGGAUUUACAAUGAGGGAAUGCUGUGAACGGGAAAAAUGAUGGAACAUUGUCGUCUUGACGAUAGUGCUGCCCUGAGUUCUGCGCGCGUUGAUUUAGCUGUCCUAACUUGCCCAGACAUGCCAUGAUGACGUCACAGCUGACGUCACAGGAUGUCCGGAACUGGUGUUCACAGCUGCGAUGCUUUGAAACCUGCCCUCGUGCUCCGUCGCCCAGCGACAGUCAGCGGCCGUUCCGGACGGCUUCCUUCAAGAUGGCGUCGUUGAUCUUCAACUAAACUCCUUCUCUCCACUCUAUCUCUAUCUAUUUUUUUAUUUUUAUCAGCUCAACUAGCCCACAACUCACACAGUGGUCUGGACACGUCCUAGAUUGUCCCCAAUUAGUGUAAUGACUCCCUGAAUUAUCCUGAUUAAUGUGGGGGGUCCCAAUUAGCUCUAAUUGCUCAUUAAUGGCGUCCAGGCCACUGUGUGAGUUGUGGGCUAGUUGAGCUGAUCAUAUACUACUUGUAUCGGCGUAUAUUGAAGGUAUAUAUUACUGUAUAUGUAUCAGGGCAUAUUUCAAGCUUCCUGAACGCGCACAGACGGUGAUCUCAGUUGUCUCGCGACGUAGCAGACGGAGAAAGACACCGGCUGUCACACAUACAGACAUCCCGAAGGCUAUGCCCAUCUUUGUUGAUGCACCCACGAAUCCACAGGAAGACUGCCGAAGCUCUCCCACUCGUAUUAAGUACCUGUAGCUUGAACUACAAACAGUUUGGUGCACACUCCACAAAACGAGAACAGCUGAUUGCUGAUUUCAUGGGCGCGGCCAUGCGAGCCGAGAAGGACAUUUCAACAGAGGAGCAAUUUUAGGUAAGUUCGAACGUGGGGCCAGUCGUCGGCGCAACAAUUUCCAGAGUGAACCAAGCUCGAUGAGCUCAGAUAACGCUUUUUUCAUUAUUUUUCUUUUUAAUAUUACUUAUUAUUAUUUUUGAUUCGUUUCCAAUUCUAAUUCCAAUUCCAGCUCAACUGUUCAGCGCGCUGACACUAGUGCAACGUAGAGUCAAUAAAUCUCUCGCUUCCCUAAGGAGAAGUGUACUUGAAGUAUAUUCGUGUUUUGUGAUUCCUUUGUCCCUCUCUACGUUCCAGAAACAUACGGUUUCUGAG
Ornithodoros turicata is the source of this 1436-nucleotide long non-coding RNA. RefSeq lists it as uncharacterized. The transcript is spliced from 5 exons. The record is from RefSeq and is a predicted model, not a curated record. Lineage: Eukaryota; Metazoa; Arthropoda; Arachnida; Ixodida; Argasidae.